This 556-nucleotide ribosomal RNA is filed under the name Kocuria oceani. Its description in RNAcentral is "bacterial SSU rRNA". It matches the Rfam family "Bacterial small subunit ribosomal RNA", at positions 82 to 649 of the family's 1533-position model. Lineage: Bacteria; Bacillati; Actinomycetota; Actinomycetes; Micrococcales; Micrococcaceae. The record is from RNAcentral.
GCGGGGGUGAUUAGUGGCGAACGGGUGAGUAAUACGUGAGUAACCUGCCCUUGACUCUGGGAUAAGCCUGGGAAACCGGGUCUAAUACUGGAUACUACUUCCUGCCGCAUGGUGGGGGGUGGAAAGGGUUUUACUGGUUUUGGAUGGGCUCACGGCCUAUCAGCUUGUUGGUGGGGUAAUGGCUCACCAAGGCGACGACGGGUAGCCGGCCUGAGAGGGUGACCGGCCACACUGGGACUGAGACACGGCCCAGACUCCUACGGGAGGCAGCAGUGGGGAAUAUUGCACAAUGGGCGGAAGCCUGAUGCAGCGACGCCGCGUGAGGGAUGACGGCCUUCGGGUUGUAAACCUCUUUCAGCAGGGAAGAAGCCACAAGUGACGGUACCUGCAGAAGAAGCGCCGGCUAACUACGUGCCAGCACGCGCGGUAAUACGUAGGGCGCAAGCGUUGUCCGGAAUUAUUGGGCGUAAAGAGCUCGUAGGCGGUUUGUCGCGUCUGCUGUGAAAGCCCGGGGCUCAACCCCGGGUCUGCAGUGGGUACGGGCAGACUAGAGUGC